AGUGGACGCUGGCGGUAGGCCUAACACAUGCAAGUCGAACGGCAGCACAGUAAGAGCUUGCUCUUACGGGUUGCGAGUGGCGGACGGGUGAGGAAUACAUCGGAAUCUACUUUUUCGUGGGGGAUAACGUAGGGAAACUUACGCUAAUACCGCAUACGACCUACGGGUGAAAGCAGGGGAUCUUCGGACCUUGCGCGAUUGAAUGAGCCGAUGUCGGAUUAGCUAGUUGGCGGGGUAAAGGCCCACCAAGGCGACGAUCCGUAGCUGGUCUGAGAGGAUGAUCAGCCACACUGGAACUGAGACACGGUCCAGACUCCUACGGGAGGCAGCAGUGGGGAAUAUUGGACAAUGGGCGCAAGCCUGAUCCAGCCAUACCGCGUGGGUGAAGAAGGCCUUCGGGUUGUAAAGCCCUUUUGUUGGGAAAGAAAGGCAGCAGGUUAAUACCCCGCUGUUCUGACGGUACCCAAAGAAUAAGCACCGGCUAACUUCGUG
Molecule: ribosomal RNA, 492 nt
Filed under: uncultured bacterium
Lineage: Bacteria
Description: partial 16S ribosomal RNA
Rfam family: Bacterial small subunit ribosomal RNA
Source: RNAcentral